GGGUAAGUGAAAAGCUGGUGGGCCGCAGAACAUGUGCUUUCUUUGUGCCAUAUGUCUGCCGACCAUCACCUUUAGAAGCCC
Molecule: microRNA precursor, 81 nt
Organism: Felis catus (domestic cat)
Lineage: Eukaryota; Metazoa; Chordata; Mammalia; Carnivora; Felidae
Rfam family: mir-654 microRNA precursor family
Source: Rfam